GGGGCAGGAACUAUAUCAUACCUCCCCUUACACAGCCAUGUUGGACCCAGCAAUGAGAGCAAAUUGUUAAGAACUGGACAACUGUGACCACAGAGAGCUUGGAUUUAGCUAUAAGUAUAGUCCAGAACCUUCACCCAGGAAACUUCUCUUCGCAACACAGAAAACUACAUUGAAUUAGGAUGCAGUUAUGGAACCCAGACCCAGAUGGAUACAUCUACAAAACUACUUUCACAUCUAAGGCCUAGGCAUCAUUUAAUAAGAGGGGAUGAAACAUUCCUAAGAGCCAGAGGAUAUGUUUAUUUGCUGUGAGACUGUGUCUCAUAAUGUUCUCAACACAGGUGUGAGUUCUUCAGAGGCUGAUGGAACAAAGUUAUCUCAUCUUGUAUUUUCAGCCUAGUACCAAUCACCUAAUAAACCGAUUGCUUUGUAAAGUAUCUGAUGUCAGGCAUCCUGUACAAGAACAGUAAAUAAUAUAACUCCUCUGUUUUUGUUUCUCUUUUGUUUAGAAUUAAAAUGUCAAACAAAACACUGAGGAGUUACACCUGGAAGGCUUUGUUCUGAUCCAGAUGCGGGAGCUGGCUGAUUAUCUCCCCGAAACCCUGAGAAUUUAUAUCAUUGCACUUAGCAAAUAAAUAUGAUGUAUGUGGCAAU
Long non-coding RNA from Mastomys coucha (southern multimammate mouse), 651 nucleotides. RefSeq lists it as uncharacterized. The record is from RefSeq and is a predicted model, not a curated record. The transcript is spliced from 4 exons. NCBI's taxonomy places the organism in Eukaryota, Metazoa, Chordata, Mammalia, Rodentia, Muridae.